RNAcentral lists this long non-coding RNA (282 nucleotides) under Elaeis guineensis (African oil palm). Its description in RNAcentral is "long non-coding RNA (EGUI_LNC079855)". The record is from RNAcentral. Lineage: Eukaryota; Viridiplantae; Streptophyta; Magnoliopsida; Arecales; Arecaceae.
GAGAGCAGGGUGGAGGUCAGUGUCGCUCUUUUUCGGAGAUCUGUGGAAAGGAAAGCACUUGAGGGAGAUGGUGAUGAUGGGGAGGAAGGCGAUGGCAGAGACCAGCGGGAGGUGGCGACGAGGAGCAUGGGAGGAGGUGGGCGUCCACAAGGCCUCGGGGAGGGUUUGAAGCAUUUUCUUUUUCGGAGAUCCAUGGGAAGGUAAACACUUGUGGGAGAUCGGAGGGGGAGGCCGAUGUUGGUGACGAUGAGGAGGAAUGCAACGGCGGAGACCGAUGGGAGG